RNAcentral lists this ribosomal RNA (460 nucleotides) under uncultured bacterium. RNAcentral describes it as "bacterial SSU rRNA". It matches the Rfam family "Bacterial small subunit ribosomal RNA", at positions 338 to 795 of the family's 1533-position model. The record is from RNAcentral.
CCUACGGGUGGCAGCAGUAAGGAAUAUUGGACAAUGGCCGCAAGGCUGAUCCAGCCAUGCCGCGUGCAGGAAGAAGGUGCUAUGCAUUGUAAACUGCUUUUGUCCCGGAAUAAACCCCCGUUCGUGAACGGGGCUGAAUGUACGGGAAGAAUAAGGGACGGCUAACUUCGUGCCAGCAGCCGCGGUAAUACGAAGGUCCCAAGCGUUAUCCGGAUUUAUUGGGUUUAAAGGGUGCGUAGGCGGGUUAUUAAGUCAGUGGUGAAAGCCUACAGCUUAACUGUAGAAUUGCCAUUGAUACUGAUGAUCUUGAGUAUGAUUGAGGUAGGCGGAAUGUGUCAUGUAGCGGUGAAAUGCUUAGAUAUGACACAGAACACCGAUUGCGAAGGCAGCUUGCUAAGUCAUAACUGACGCUGAGGCACGAAAGCGUGGGGAGCAAACAGGAUUAGAUACCCUUGUAGUC